CUAGUAAAGUCGGCGCACGGGUGAGUAGCGCGUGGGUAAUCUGCCCUGAAGUUGGGAAUAACACCUCGAAAGGGGUGCUAAUACCGAAUGAUAUCCCCGGGAUUCCGGUCCUGGAGAUCAAAGAUGGCUGAGGCUUGCAAGCCAUCGCUUUAGGAUGAGCCCGCGUACCAUUAGCUAGUUGGUGGGGUAACGGCCCACCAAGGCCAUGAUGGUUAGCUGGUCUGAGAGGAUGGCCAGCCACACUGGAACUGAGAUACGGUCCAGACUCCUACGGGAGGCAGCAGUGAGGAAUCUUGCGCAAUGGGGGAAACCCUGACGCAGCAACGCCGCGUGAGUGAUGAAGGCCUUCGGGUCGUAAAGCUCUGUCAGAUGGGAAGAAAGUUUCGGCGGUGAACAAUCGCCGGGAUUGACGGUACCGUCAGAGGAAGCACCGGCUAACUCCGUGCCAGCAGCCGCGGUAAUACGGAGGGUGCAAGCGUUGUUCGGAAUCAUUGGGCGUAAAGAGCGUGUAGGCGGUCGGGUAAGUCAGAUGUGAAAUCCCUUGGCUUAACCAAGGAAGUGCAUUUGAAACUGCCCGGCUUGAGUACGGGAGGGGGAAGUGGAAUUCCCGGUGUAGAGGUGAAAUUCGUAGAUAUCGGGAGGAACACCGGUGGCGAAGGCGGCUUCCUGGACCGAUACUGACGCUGAGACGCGAAAGCGUGGGGAGCAAACAGGAUUAGAUACCCUGGUAGUCCACGCCGUAAACUUUGGGCACUUGGUGUUGCGGGUAUUGACCCCUGCAGUGCCGAAGCUAACGCAUUAAGUGCCCCGCCUGGGGAGUACGGCCGCAAGGUUAAACUCAAGGAAUUGACGG
Molecule: ribosomal RNA, 853 nt
Filed under: uncultured delta proteobacterium
Lineage: Bacteria; Deltaproteobacteria
Description: bacterial SSU rRNA
Rfam family: Bacterial small subunit ribosomal RNA
Source: RNAcentral